CCCUUAGAUGUUCUGGGCCGCACGCGCGCUACACUGACUACUUCAACGAGUUGUUUCCUUGAUCGAAAGGUCUGGGUAAUCUUUGAAAGGUAGUCGUGAUGGGGAUAGAUCCUUGCAAUUUUUGAUCUUCAACGAGGAAUUCCUAGUAAACGCAAGUCAUCAGCUUGCAUUGAUUACGUCCCUGCCCUUUGUACACACCGCCCGUCGCACCUACCGAUUGAAUGGUCCGGUGAAUCUUUAGGACUGUGGCUGAGGCCUUGCCUUGUGCGGGUCUGGCCGUGGGAAUUUAGUUAAACCAUACCAUUUAGAGGAAGGUGAAGUCGUAACA
Molecule: ribosomal RNA, 328 nt
Filed under: uncultured eukaryote
Lineage: Eukaryota
Description: partial 18S ribosomal RNA
Rfam family: Eukaryotic small subunit ribosomal RNA
Source: RNAcentral